UACGUAGGGUGCAAGCGUUGUCCGGAAUUAUUGGGCGUAAAGAGCUCGUAGGCGGUCUGUUGCGUCGGCUGUGAAAACCCGGGGCUCAACCCCGGGCCUGCAGCCGAUACGGGCAGACUAGAGUUCGGCAGGGGAGACUGGAAUUCCUGGUGUAGCGGUGAAAUGCGCAGAUAUCAGGAGGAACACCGGUGGCGAAGGCGGCGACCUGGUCCGUGACUGACGCUGAGGCGCGAAAGCGUGGGGAGCAAACAGG
This 253-nucleotide ribosomal RNA is filed under the name uncultured bacterium. Its description in RNAcentral is "partial 16S ribosomal RNA". It matches the Rfam family "Bacterial small subunit ribosomal RNA", at positions 524 to 776 of the family's 1533-position model. The record is from RNAcentral.